Molecule: unclassified non-coding RNA, 207 nt
Filed under: uncultured fungus
Lineage: Eukaryota; Fungi
Description: sequence contains ITS1
Source: RNAcentral
UUAACAAAUUUUGCUUUUCGCUCAGACUGCAAACUUCAGACAGCGUUCAAUGGUGUCUUCGGCGGGCGCGGGCCCGGGGGCGGAUGCCCCCCGGCGGCCGUGAGGCGGGCCCGCCGAAGCAACAAGGUUCGUUAAACACGGGUGGGAGGUUGGACCCCGAGGGGCCCUCACUCAGUAAUGAUCCUUCCGCAGGUUCACCUACGGAAA